Molecule: ribosomal RNA, 490 nt
Filed under: uncultured bacterium
Lineage: Bacteria
Description: partial 16S ribosomal RNA
Rfam family: Bacterial small subunit ribosomal RNA
Source: RNAcentral
AUUGAACGCUGGCGGCAGGCCUAACACAUGCAAGUCGAACGGUAACAGGAAACAGCUUGCUGUUUCGCUGACGAGUGGCGGACGGGUGAGUAAUGUCUGGGAAACUGCCGGAUGGAGGGGGAUAACUACUGGAAACGGUAGCUAAUACCGCAUAACGUCGCAAGACCAAAGAGGGGGACCUUCUGGCCUCUUGCCAUCGGAUGUGCCCAGAUGGGAUUAGCUAGUAGGUGGGGUAACGGCUCACCUAGGCGACGAUCCCUAGCUGGUCUGAGAGGAUGACCAGCCACACUGGAACUGAGACACGGUCCAGACUCCUACGGGAGGCAGCAGUGGGGAAUAUUGCACAAUGGGCGCAAGCCUGAUGCAGCCAUGCCGCGUGUAUGAAGAAGGCCUUCGGGUUGUAAAGUACUUUCAGCGGGGAGGAAGGGAGUAAAGUUAAUACCUUUGCUCAUUGACGUUACCCGCAGAAGAAGCACCGGCUAACUCCGUG